CCAGAGCUCGUUAGUGUUGAGGACGCGCAUGCCUUCAGUUUGGAUGCAAAAGAUAAAUCAGAAGCCCGAGUACUGCAAUGAAAAAUAAAAAGAAAAAAAAAAGAUGUUUUCUCCUCAUGACCAAAGAGGACGAAAAAGGUGGUCUCUGUUCUUCUUCAGUCUUUGAGGGACCCGUCCACUCGAAAUUGUCCGCGUACGCCUUGACCCACAGAAUGAGAAAUUUCAGAACAGAUUAGACUUCAAGCUUAAGUGACCCUAAAAAAGGAAGAAAUGGUACAUCAGAGCAGUACGUACCAUCACUUGCUAUGAAAUGGACAUUUCACUGAUAAUAACUUGAUGAAUAAAGAAAGAUCAGACGACAAAGUUUUACGCAAUCUAGCUUAACCCAAUGACGAGGCUACCAUGCAAGAACGACAAACGAAAAUGCUUCUUAAAAAUACAGCAGAGAUUUUUGCUUAAUGACCAAAGAGAACUAAUGAUACCUCCGCAAAGGGCGUACUGGCAGUUGCCAUGAAAGGAACACCUCCUAUGGAAGGAACACCAUCCAUGAAAGGAACACGUCACUGAUAACAAUCAGAUAACGAUCAAUAACAAAAGCCUCGAUGACAAAAUUUUAUCCAAUCUAGCUUUCACCCGAUCAUGAGACUACCAUGCAAGAAGUAAAUUUUGUAAAGAGAGCUUCAAUUUAUUCAAACAGGACUAUAAAAAUGAGAUCGAAAGAUUGAUUUAUCUACAGCAUGCUUAGAUUGGCGAAGGAAAAAAAAAUACUUAGAUAAAUUUAUCUACAGUAUGCUUAGAUAAAUUUCUGACUCUCAUCUCGGUUCCAUCAAAAAUUCUGCCCCAAAAUACAAUCAGAAUAUUCUCUUUUACAGCCUUCCUUUAAUAGCAAGUAAGGUGAAAAAAAUAGCAACAAAAAACACUAGAGAAGAAAAAGAAUUUGCAAAAGAUAGAAUUUUCAAAGAAAGAGAAAAGAAAUCGCUUAUUUUCAAAUGCUUAGAACUCAUGACAUAAAAGAAGCUAGGUUAUUUGAUUGAUUGACCACGAAGGGGAGCAAAAAGAAAAUAAAGAAAAUAAAAAAUAACUAAAAUAUCAACAAUCAUUGCAUGUGCCUCAUGAUCACGUGUGCGAGCCCGGUUACACAAUUGCGUGCAUAUGUGGUAUAAAACUUACUUCUAUCCAUAGCCCAAGUAAAGGCGGACAAAGGAAGAUGGUUUAUAAACAUCAAGAAACAAUUGUCUCUUUCCAAUGUGAAAUGAAAAAAAUCUUAUAAAAAAAAAACGAAAUUUUCCCACCAAAAACUCCAACAAAUGCUACUUAAACAUACAGCAGAGAUUCAAGCUUAUUGACCCAAAAGAGGAACUUAUGAUGCCUCAGAAAAGUACGUAACGGCACCUGUUAUGAAAGAAACACGUCACAAGGGAACACUUACCUGAUAAUAAUUUGAUAAGUAAUGAAAUCCUAAACCACAAACUUUUACGCAAUCUAGCUUCAUCCAAUUAAUCACGAGGUUACCAUGCAACAACGACAAACGGACAAGCUUCUUAACCGUAAAGCUUAAAAACUUUUAGGCACUUGCACGCAAUCUAGGCCAACAUAGAAUUUUGCGACUGUUGGAAACAAAACAACAGUUUGGUCCCAGAGAUUACUUAAAUUUUAAAAGAUCAGCAAACGGAAAGAACCAUCUCAAGAUCUUUUCAGAAUCCAUGUCUUCAGCGGGCACAUAACUGAUAUUGGAUAACCAACCAGCUACGUGUUGCAAGAACCAUGACUUGUCCUCUGGAGUCUGCCAUGGAUCACCUAGCGGACAAGCAACAAACCCUGUGCAUUUGUAAUUAAAUAAGUGUGACCACUGACCAUGGCAUUGUGAACAUCUGUUGUCAUUUUAGUUGUUAACAUCAUUAGCACAUCUGAAAGGAUGAACAAAGUAUCUCUUUAAUCAUAAAACUUGCAGCCAAGUAAUCUCAUCCCCGAAUGAAAAAAUAGCAUAACAACAAAAAGAAAUUGGACCUGACCAAUGCACGAAAUUGGACCAGACUCUACCUGGAGAAAAUUUCCAACAUCCACUUUCCAAUGAUAGAAAAUUAAAAUUGUCUUUCCAUUCUAGCUAAAGCAAGCAUAUUGCUUGAUUGUUCUCUUAGAGUGUCACAUAAAUGUAUUUGGCUUAAAGCAUGAACACAGCCUGCAAUGCCUGCUUUUCAGUUAGUCAUCUUCCAAUUGUGGAUAACUUUGAGACACAAAAAGAGGCUCCACUUUCCCUUCAAUUUUGUUUUAAAAUUCUUAAUUCAAAUGUCCAUUUCUUGAGAAACAUCACUCUAAAGGUCCUUAUCGGCAAGAAUCCACAUCAGCAAUACUAGCCACACCAUGGGCCAGAUAUGUCUCCAGAAACGGUAAUCAGCGAAAUUUGGAUUGCCUCACCUUGUGUGGACAUUCGAGACAAGCAGGCUCUGAAGACAUCAACAGCUUAUACUUAUGACUCUACACUGAGUAAAUAAACAAAUAAAAGAUUUCCGCAUCCGACAACAAAAUACGUACAGCUCAUUAUCCAACAACUGAUAAUGCCACAAACUUAACAUUGAACCACCAAGACAGACCCAAAUAUUAAGUCAGAUGUAUGGAUCAGAAUGUGCAACAAUCAAAUGGGACAUAAUCUGCCUGCCUGUCUACCCAAUACCAACAUCAUUUGAAUAAGAGCCAAUUACAACUAUCCUGGAUGAGACUAUGGACAAGAGAGCUGCACAAUGAAAAAUUGUGCUACCUAGAGUCUAGACAUUUCAAUUAUUUUUUCUUAUACAGAUACUUGGAUUCUUGUACAUCUGAUGGCAAACCUUGAGACUAUAUAUCAGUGAAGCAUCAUGUUGCCAUUGUUGAAAUAUCUACUUUUGGCUUUUAUACCUGAAAGUUUUCAAGUCUAGCACAAAAUCUUGAAGUGAGUCAGGGGUUGUUCCAGUGGUCACACCCCUCUGCUUAGCAACCAGAUGUUUUGGGUUGGAAUCUUCGCACCAAAAAACAGAGCAUCCAGAAAAUUUUUUGUCGAGCCUAUCAAGUUAUAGAGCAAUUGGUCCAACAAGUUAUUCAGUAGAUAUAUAAAUUUGCACAUAUUUUCUCUCAAGAAAAUUAAGUUUGCAUAUAUUCAUCACACAUCCUUGUGAUAUGGAUGUGUCCUCAUACCUGAACUCUUCUGAACAAUUGAGACUAAUGUCAUGUUUGUUGGUAACAUUGCCAUGAGACCAAGAAGGCAAAACAAUAAACAGUAAGGUGGAUCAGUCCAAUUUGCCAUUUACAUUCAUUGCAACUCAGGAGCAACCUCCAAGAUUCUCCUAGACUUGGAACGGGUGUAGAUAUGAGGGCAAGGUCUGACAAUGUAGAUGCAUAAAUUGGAAGACAGUUAAUUGAAAUAUGGGCUCUAUACUUCCAACGGACAAAAAUUGUGGGUAGUCUAUGAAUACACAACAUUUGAUUAACCAUUUAAGAUAUAGAAAAGGUGGGCCAGACUACCAGCAUUGCCAUAACACUUCCACUGUAAUCAAAGAAACCAGACCUACCACAAAUGGUCUGAUGAAAGUAAAAGGUCUUUGGGAAUAAUUCAGAUGCACACAUCAUAGAUCUUAUGAGAUAGACAUAGCUGUUGCUUAACAUCAGAUGAUUGAGCAACACCAAUCACCAGCAAAAUGGUUGGCUCAUGAGUCAUGAUCAAAUUAUAGGGAUUUGAAUCCAAAAACAGCAAACAUUUGACAUCAAUGACCAGUGAAAUGAAGGUACAAACCUUCCCUCUGCCCACCUCACAUAUAAAUAAUGACUAGAAAAGGCAUCUGUCUACUGGAUCCACUCUGGUUUUUUGUGUAUGCUUUGGAUCAUCAUUCCUAAUGCCAAUUAAUCAUGUUUUUGCAUCAUAUCAAGAUUGUUUGGCAUUCACCAAUUUGUUUGCACUUCUUAAGAAAUCUUAAUCGAUCAUUGGUUGCUCUACAAUCUGCCAAGAAUAAUUGAUUCGAUCCUAAAUUUCUUCAAAUGUGACACAUGCCUGAAUUAUUUCUUAUGUCAUGGUUUUUAUAUGAUAUGUGGCAUCAUUUCUCUGAUUGACUUUUUAGCCCCAAUAUAAGGCUCCUUUUAGUCAACUUUUUUGGUGAUGUCUCAUUAUCCUACUUGUUGAAUUAUACAGGUGUAGAGCUUGGCAGAGCACUAGGCUGGUCAGUUCUCAAGUGAGAUAGUGUGUCUGCUCCCUCUAAUGUUGUGUAUAAGGUCUUUUUUGCAUGUAUAUAUUCUAAAUUUGCCUUUUCGCAUCCUUUUCGCACGUAUACAGUUGUAAACUUGCAAUUUAUAUGUACAACCUUGUAAUUGCUUGUCAUCUGUCCUAUGACAUUGGAUUAAAUGAUUAACUAUAAUUCAGUUGGGUUAAAAGACAACUCAGCCUACAAAAUUAUGACUACCUCUUGUUUGACACUAGUAUUUAUGAUAUUUCAAAGGACAUUUAAGCAAAUGCACAAGGCAAAUUUAGACUUCUUGCUGCUAACAGACAUCUUUCUAUUCCUAAACAGCUUAUCAACCAGAAAGUGUGUACACCAAAAGGCUACUUGCAUAAGUAUACUAGCCGACAAUAAAUUACAAGGUUAUAUAGCUGAAAAACCAUGCCUCAGUUCCAACACAACAGAGAUGGUGGAUUGAUAUCGUAAUCUCCAGAGACAAACAUUCCAGGACAUUGUUAUAUGCUACCACCCAUUCUGCAACACAUGCAGAAGAACAACAAUGCUUCCAUAAUCCGUACCGCAUUUCAGUUGUCUUCACAACUCAAAGAAGCUCUCUUCUCAGACACAACCUACUUAGGUAACCUGGACCAUAGAGAGUUCUACAUGUUUUUUAACCAAAUGUUCAUGUCAUUUGUUCAUACCUUAACAAGGAGUACCCAUUCAGGACCAUUUCAUAAAGCAUUAGUUAGUUAUUUAAUAGUCAUUAAAUGAAAUAUUGUCCAAUGUGGCAGUUCUCUUGUUUGCUCCUCUUCAGAACUCCAUAUUAUUUAAUUUUAUUAGAUAUAGCAGCAAAUCAUAUGACACAUUGUUGUUACAGUUUAAAGAUUUCCUUUAUCACAGUUCAUGCAUACCUAGAUUUCUAGGAUAAGCUACAUGCACACUGACAAGCUUCUAGGACCCAUAUGUACUUGACCCAAGUUUUUACAAAUUUUCUAAGUUAUACAACACUUGAUAAUGUACUUAGACAUUCUCCAUAUUCUUGAUAAUAAUUCAUUACAUAUCAAUAGGUCACAGUUUCUCAAUAAAAACAGGAUAGUACUGAACUAAUCAUAAAUGAGGAGGGAUAUGCACAUGGAGAAUAUGGCCCUACUAGAUUAUUUAUCGCAUUUAUUAGCUACAGAAGCAACAAGAACAUCCUGAAAAAUCAUGAUCUUUUUGAAGCAAACAAUCUUUGAUAAUUUGUUUUCAAUUUAGCAUCGCAAUGGCAUCAAGUAAUUGUAAAUAGCAGAAGAUGCUUGAGGAAAGAAUAACCGACCUUCAAAAGAGGUGUAUGAUGCCCCCUCGCCUGCACAAGAGAUAACAGCAAAAAUGCAAAUAUCAAGAGAUAAAUAUAUCUACUAAUUUU
RNAcentral lists this long non-coding RNA (5586 nucleotides) under Elaeis guineensis (African oil palm). Its description in RNAcentral is "long non-coding RNA (EGUI_LNC031902)". Lineage: Eukaryota; Viridiplantae; Streptophyta; Magnoliopsida; Arecales; Arecaceae. The record is from RNAcentral.